GGGGAUUUAGCUCAAUGGUAGAGCGCUUGCCUAGCAAGCGCAAGGCCCUGGGUUCGGUCCCCAGCUCCG
Molecule: non-coding RNA, 69 nt
Organism: Rattus norvegicus (Norway rat)
Lineage: Eukaryota; Metazoa; Chordata; Mammalia; Rodentia; Muridae
Source: Rfam